UAGGUGAUUACUGAUACAAAAAGCCUUCUUCUCACUAGGCUACCUACUGGGAACAGGUACGAGGUCUGCCUUUGUAUGGCUCGUGUAAGAAAACUCUUUACUGAGCAGCUGCACUGCACACCAGGGCUCCAAGUCUUAUAGAAGGGGGCAUUUAUUUUUGUGUUAGAAGGCAUCAGUUUAGAAUUGAGCUGCUUGCCCUGUUUUGCAGAUGAAUUUGUUGGAAGAAAGGUCAGAGCUAAAAGGGAAAAUGCAUGCUUUUCUCAACCAGCCUCUCCCUGCAGACUUCAGAAGGCUCACCUGAAGGCUCUACCUGUCUAAUCCAAGAGUACGCCUAGACUAUCUGUCUCAAGUCGCAGCAAAUAAAGCUAAAUCCCCAAAGGACUGGGAGAUUUUCCUGAAGCCUCAGACUCUAUUGUCCACUGAACCCACUUUUCAGCACCUGAAAGACAAUGAAGGAUGCUGCUGGUACCAAUGUUUUGGGGGAAAUAAGCUCAGUGUUACAUGAACAGGACAGGGACCUGACCAAAGUUAUUCAGGGCAUUUACAGUCAGUCAGGUAAGGUGGCUUG
RNAcentral lists this long non-coding RNA (568 nucleotides) under Crocodylus porosus (Australian saltwater crocodile). RNAcentral's name for it is "lncRNA (ENSCPRG00005013138.1)". Lineage: Eukaryota; Metazoa; Chordata; Crocodylia; Crocodylidae. The record is from RNAcentral.